Molecule: long non-coding RNA, 1374 nt
Filed under: Anser brachyrhynchus (Pink-footed goose)
Lineage: Eukaryota; Metazoa; Chordata; Aves; Anseriformes; Anatidae
Description: lncRNA (ENSABRG00000007204.1)
Source: RNAcentral
AUGUGGAGCUGGGGGGCACAGGCCCACGGAGGGGUGCAGAGGGGAGCACCUGCUCUCUGUCCCCGAGCUCGUCGCAAGCACCUCGAGGUGCCCUGGUGCUGCGUCUGGGUUUGUGCGCUGGGGUCAGAGCCGGGUCCAGCACAGCCGGGGCUGCACCCGGGGUGGGGGGAUCGGCCCGGAAGGGGGGUACGCACGCGGUUUUGCCCCGGAGCAGCCACGCUCGGCUGCACGCUGGCCAAGAACCCCCGCGCCGGGGCCUGGGGGGCGCGGUGGCUGUCCGCGGCCGGGCCUCCGGGCGAGCGCUGUGUCCCCAGGACACCCCGGCUGGGGAGGGGGCCGGGCCGUGCUGUGCCCCCCCGGCCGGACAGCCGCGGGCGCGGACGGCUCGUUUUUCUGCGAAUUCCCCGUUCCGUCCUCCCGGCGGACACCCCACGGCUGCCAUCUAACGGCCACCGCGGGCCGAGCGGCGGGGACGCGGCGGGCGGUGGCCGCGGCGGCGGGGCCGAGCCGAGCGCACGGCGGCAGCAGCCCGGACCGCGGGUCCCCGCCGCCUCCCCGAGCCCCGGCACGGGCCCUGUCGGGGCCGGGACCCCUCGGGGAAGAGCAGGGGAAGCGGUGCCGGUCCCUGUCCCCGUCCUGUCCCGGUCCCUGUCCCCACCCCUGUCCCCACCCCUGUCCCCAUCCCCAUCCCCAUCCCGUCCCCAUCCCGUCCCCAUCCCGUCCCCAUCCCCGUCCCAGCCCAAGCACGGCCGCUGCAGGUGUCGGGGGGCUGGGGACAAACAAGCGGGGACCGAGCUGGGAGAAACCCAACGGCACAACUGCGGCGCUUUUCGGUCGCCCCCCGUCGGCUCGGUUCUAACGCCGCUCAGUCCCCCCGUUCCCCACGCCUGCCCUCCCUCCGUCCCCCUGCUGGAGAUGGGUCCUCACCUGGCACCCGAGCACGCUCCGGGGGGACGCUCCGGGCCCCCGCUGUGCCGGGGCAGCCCCCACCCCUGCGCCCCGCCGCUGGCCCGGUGCCACCCGGGGUGUGCCACCCCCGUGCCACCCCGGCCCGGCCCUCCGCUCCCCUCCGCGCCCCUCCGCUCCCCUCCCGCCGGAGGCUGCCUUGGCAGCUCCGUCUGCAAUUUUGGCAGAGCCGCACCAGAAUUGGAGAGAGCGGCGAGGGAGAGAAAUUACACACACACACACACACACACAAAAAAAAAAAAAGGAAAAAAAAUACAGCCCAAUAGCCUGGAGAGGCUUGUGUGUUUGCCCUUUCGUCAUGACGUAGUGUCCUGUGCCUCUCUCCCCCCUUCUCUCGUUCCUUUUCCCCUCCCUCCUUCCAACCCCCACACCCCCCCUUCCCCUCACAUCCUUGGAAGCAACAAUUAA